GCCCUUCACAUCCCGGCACCGCUUGCCUAUAUCGCCCGUGCCGGGGUUCGCCGCGGCUAUGGCGAUAAAUCGUACGUACUUUCGACGCAGCGGACCCGGGGGCAGUACCCGGCGGCUCCACCAUAACCGGUCUCUCAAGGCCGGCUCUGACGGGGCCGAACUAGGAUCGACGUGUGGACGGGAUGCGUGUUUUCGCCCGGGCUGAGUAACCCGUUAAAGGCUCAAAACCACAAGUGCCAACGAUAACGAGGCGCUCGCGAUUGCUGCAUAAUCAAGGCCUAACGGCUUAGAUUAUAAGGCUUGAACGCGGUUCGGGCCGCACCGGGCAACAGAAGCGGAUUCCG
RNAcentral lists this transfer-messenger RNA (344 nucleotides) under Sphingomonas natans. It matches the Rfam family "Alphaproteobacteria transfer-messenger RNA". Rfam says of the family: Bacterial tmRNA, also known as 10Sa RNA or SsrA, is named for its dual tRNA and mRNA-like properties. Its role is to liberate the mRNA from a stalled ribosome. To accomplish this part of the tmRNA is used as a reading frame that ends in a translation stop signal. Lineage: Bacteria; Pseudomonadati; Pseudomonadota; Alphaproteobacteria; Sphingomonadales; Sphingomonadaceae. The record is from RNAcentral.